Molecule: long non-coding RNA, 668 nt
Organism: Onychomys torridus (southern grasshopper mouse)
Lineage: Eukaryota; Metazoa; Chordata; Mammalia; Rodentia; Cricetidae
Exons: 3
Source: RefSeq, a predicted model, not a curated record
GGCAGUGCUGGGUUUCCCAUACGCCUCUCGGGCUCCCCUCCCCCAUGUCCGCCAGGGACCCCCGGGGUCACUCACCUGCGUGGGGCAUGGUGAUGGUCUCGUUGGUGUUGGAGCCCACGUUGAAGAUGACCACGGCCGAGGCGUUCUGCAGGAAAGCGUUCCGGAUCUUAUCCCUGUCCCAGUUUCUUGCCACUGAGGGUGGCCUGCUUCGCUGCUCUGAGAUCAUGUAUUCUGCAAACAAGAGUGGAAGAAUGUUCAGAGUCCAGCAACUCCUUUGACUGCUGAUGCAAGCACACUGUACACAAAUGGAAGGCUCUGGAAAAGUUCUUCUGGGGCGUGAGACUGAUGCUAUAAUAUGUUCCCUGGGGAAGAAAGAAACAUGGCUAUACUCUGCUGUGACUACCGAGGACAGAAGCUGCUGGGGCUCCAUCCUUGUGUCUGAUGCUGCAGCUCGCCGGGCGUCCACUCCUGUGGGCGCUUUCACAGGUUUCUGAUGACCCUCACUGAGGAAUCUUUUUCUGAGUUGUCCUCUUACAGAGAAGCAGGUUCUUAAAAACCUGUAUAAUUAUCAAGGUUAUUCUUUGAAAUAUACCAUUUUAGAUGUUAUUAGUAAUCUGUAGGAAUCAGAUCACUGUAAUAAUAUUAAAAUUAAAAGUAAAAUUUAGGUG